GUUGACUGUGGUGUUGGUGGUAGUAGGUGUUGACUGUGGUGUUGGUGGUAGUAGGUGUUGACUGUGGUGUUGGUGGUGGUAGGUGUUGACUGUGGGGUUGGUGGUAGUAGGUGUUGACUGUGGUGUUGGUGGUAGUAGGUGUUGACUGUGGUGUUGGUGGUGGUAGGUGUUGACUGUGGUGUUGGUGGUAGUAGGUGUUGACUGUGGUGUUGGUGGUAGUAGGUGUUGACUGUGGUGUUGGUGGUGGUAGGUGUGGACUGUGGUGUUGGUGGUAGUAGGGUUUGACUGUGGUGUUGGUGGUGGUAGGUGUGGACUGUGGUGUUGGUGGUGGUAGGUGUUGACUGUGGUGUUGGUGGUGGUAGGUGUUGACUGUGGUGUUGGUGGUGGUAGGUGUUUGACUGUGGUGUUGGUGGUAGUAGGUGUUGACUGUGGUGUUGGUGGUGGUAGGUGUUGACUGUGGUGUUGGUGGUGGUAGGUGUUGACUGUGGUGUUGGUGGUGGUAGGUGUUGACUGUGGUGUUGGUGGUGGUAGGUGUUGACUGUGGUGUUGGUGGUAGUAGGUGUUGACUGUGGUGUUGGUGGUGGUAGGUGUUGACUAUGGUGUUGGUGGUAGCAGGUGUUGACUGUGGUGUUGGUGGUAGUAGGUGUUGACUGUGGUGUUGGUGGUGGUAGGUGUGGACUGUGGUGUUGGUGGUGGUAGGUGUGGACUGUGGUGUUGGUGGUGGUAGGUGUGGACUGUGGUGUUGGUGUGGUAGGUGUGGACUAUGAUGUUGGUGGUGGUAGGUGUGGACUGUGGUGUUGGUGGUGAUGGGUGUAGAACGUGAUAGUGGGUGUACACCGUGGUUGUGGUGGUAGUGGGUGUACACCGUGGUUGUGGUGGUAGUGGGUGUAGACCGUGGUUGUGGUGGUAGUGGGUGUAGACCGUGGUGUGGUGGUAG
Non-coding RNA from Cherax quadricarinatus, 937 nucleotides. The record is from RefSeq and is a predicted model, not a curated record. Lineage: Eukaryota; Metazoa; Arthropoda; Malacostraca; Decapoda; Parastacidae.